GACGAACGCUGGCGGCGUGCCUAAUACAUGCAAGUUGAGCGAUGAAGAUUGGUGCUUGCACCAAUUUGAAGAGCAGCGGACGGGUGAGUAACGCGUGGGGAAUCUGCCUUUGAGCGGGGGACAACAUUUGGAAACGAAUGCUAAUACCGCAUAAUAACUUUAAACAUAAGUUUUAAGUUUGAAAGAUGCAAUUGCAUCACUCAAAGAUGAUCCCGCGUUGUAUUAGCUAGUUGGUGAGGUAAAGGCUCACCAAGGCGAUGAUACAUAGCCGACCUGAGAGGGUGAUCGGCCACAUUGGGACUGAGACACGGCCCAAACUCCUCAGGGAGGCAGCAGUAGGGAAUCUUCGGCAAUGGACGAAAGUCUGACCGAGCAACGCCGCGUGAGUGAAGAAGGGUUUCGGAUCGUAAAAAUCUGUUGGUAGAGAAGAACGUUGGUGAGAGUGGAAAGCUCAUCAAGUGACGGUAACUACCCAGAAAGGGACGGCUAACUACGUG
Molecule: ribosomal RNA, 497 nt
Filed under: uncultured bacterium
Lineage: Bacteria
Description: partial 16S ribosomal RNA
Rfam family: Bacterial small subunit ribosomal RNA
Source: RNAcentral